This is an RNA transcript of Sipha flava (yellow sugarcane aphid), 1532 nucleotides long. RefSeq lists it as uncharacterized. The transcript is spliced from 4 exons. The record is from RefSeq and is a predicted model, not a curated record. NCBI's taxonomy places the organism in Eukaryota, Metazoa, Arthropoda, Insecta, Hemiptera, Aphididae.
ACGAACAAUCGAAAACUAUGAGUAUUAUAUAAUAAUCGGUUAUAUACAGGACUCGGAUUCUAUAGCACAGAAGCUGAUCCUGACCUAGAUAACCGAAGGGUGAAUGCAUUUUAAAAUUCAAAGGGUACACAUUUAUAAUAACACUUCACCCGGUUAAAAUAUAGUGUUUAAAAUAUAUUAAAUUAAUUUUGUGUAUUCUUAACCUUAGCUGGUACGUCUCGAUCGUCACGAUUGGCUCUCCCAUUAAAUCCACCCCGGCAAUAGCAUUUGAUAAAUUAUUAUAGAACACUAAGAAAAACAACGGUGUAAGCUAUACAUUUAUUUCAUGUAAUAAGGAUAUUUUAAAUCUAAUACAUUUCACACUGCAUAUAUUUAUCUAUUUUCAAGAUAAUAGCUGUUGAGUAUUAUAUCUCUUUUGUUUUGGAGCUAUUUCGUGAUUUAAAUAAAAAGAAAAGAUAGUGUCAUAACUAGAAUAUGAAAUUCAUCAUAUUUUCAAUUAAGAGUUGAAUAAUAAAAAAAUAAUUUUUUUUAGCGAAUAACAUUGUUUUAAACUGAUCACGGUAGAAGACACUAAAUACUCGCAUACUGUGCUUGUAGAAAAAAAUCACAGUGUGCGUUCUUCGUAAAAGGUAUUUAUCGUUAUCGUCCAGUACCAUAGAAUCGGAGCUCCGGUCAUGUGCACGAAGCCCACGUGCGCCGAUAGACGCACGUGCACAGCGUACAUGCAAAACGCGGACCGGUUCGCGUGCAUGUUACGAUCGUACAGUGUACACAUUGGCACGUACAUUGUAACGCGCGCGGAUUUAUAAUUUAUUCCGAUACGAAACGCGAAGAACAAUCCGCGUCGGAUUUCGUACGUUUCGUCGGGAGCAAUCGGCUCCGCGCAAUGUAAUCGUUGAGUGCGUGCCCGUGCACGCCCGUGCGUGUCCAUGAGUGCGCGGCAAACGUUUACGUAUUGGUCCGAGCUCUUCAUCCAAGGCUGCCCCCGUGCCGUUUCGGCUGAAAUGGAAAACCACCCUCGUUGUAUCAAAAACAUGGAUGUCAUAGCAUGGGUUCCUGGUAUUCCUGGACAUGGUCCUAAAUUUCCUGUACCAGAUAAUUCCCAACCUGGAACUCUUUGUUUAAAAUACAAAGGAAUGAAAAUCUUUAUCCCAUGUAAAUCCACUAAAUUACAAAGCGACAGCAACGUAGUUAAAGACGACAAAGAAAAAAAAAUAAUUCCAAUGAUAAAUUUAAAAGCAGUAGGUCACCUACUCAAACCAGAUAUAAACUAGCAGACUCAAAAUAUAAAGUAGAAGAAGUAAGCAGUUAUUUGGAAGGACAAAAGUUUUCUGCUGUGCCCUUAAAACGUUCUGUUGGUGUCCAAUGGAAUAUUAAUGAUACCGAAGACACGUCUAAAUUGAUUAAUCCACUGCAGACAUCGAAUAGAACAUUUGAUUAUAUUGAAAAUAAAAAGUUGACUGCGGAUACGAAGAAAAGUAAUGGAUUCAAUAAAGACAUAAAAGUUAUAAAAUGUCAAGUAUCAGCAGUGG